This is a non-coding RNA of Microcebus murinus (gray mouse lemur), 1774 nucleotides long. Lineage: Eukaryota; Metazoa; Chordata; Mammalia; Primates; Cheirogaleidae. The record is from RefSeq and is a predicted model, not a curated record.
GAUGAGGCUCGAGCUUGAAGCGCGCAGGGCCAGAGACGCCGUGUAGACCCGCGACCCGGAGCAGCUCAAGAGGCGGUGAAUAAUAGCUCUUCAAGUCUGCAAUAAAAAAUGGCCUCCAAUAAAACUACAUUGCAAAAAAUGGGAAAGAAACAGAAUGAGAAGAGUAAAAAGGUUGAAGAGGCAGAGCCUGAAGAAUUUGUGGUGGAAAAAGUACUGGAUGGACGUGUAGUAAAUGGGAAAGUGGAGUAUUUCCUGAAGUGGAAGGGAUUUACAGAUGCUGACAAUACUUGGGAACCUGAAGAAAAUUUGGAUUGUCCAGAGUUAAUUGAAGCAUUUCUUAAUUCUCAAAAAGCUGGUAAAGAAAAAGAUGGUACAAAAAGAAAGUCUUUAUCUGCCAGUGAAUCUGAUGAUAGCAAAUCAAAGAAGAAAAGAGAUGCUGCUGACAAACCAAGAGGCUUUGCCAGAGGUCUUGAUCCUGAAAGAAUAAUUGGUGCCACAGAUAGCAGUGGAGAAUUAAUGUUUCUUAUGAAACAGAAAGAUUCAGAUGAGGCAGAUUUGGUGCUGGCAAAAGAGGCAAAUAUGAAGUGUCCUCAAAUUGUAAUUGCUUUUUAUGAAGAGAGACUAACUUUGCAUUCUUGUCCAGAAGAUGAAGCUCAAUAAUUGUUUGCAUUGCUUUUUAUAUAUAUUUAUAUAUAUAUAUAAAAUCUGGGUCUUGGUUUUUGAUUUACUAGUGUGAAGAAAUAACUACAUCUAAUAAAUCAAGUUUGAUACAUUUGUUUUGAAAGUAGUAUUGAGAGAGUUGUUGGGGGGGGGUUGCAUCAAUAGCACUGGUUACUUUGAACAAAUAAAAGCUUUCUGUAGUUGCUUCCUUUAUCAGAAAAGAACAUAUGAUACCAUGGUAUAUUACUUCCUCUGUGCUAGGGAACAGCUUUUCUAAAUGCUAGGGGAAAUUUCCAUACCCAUUAUUCAAUCAGAGCUUGUGUUUAACUCAUGCCUAAGGACCAUUCUGGGUUUUUUUAAUUUGUUUUUGUGUGUGUAUACGUAAAAUGCAUAUGUAAAUGAUUGUUUUUAAACAUUCACCAAAACAAAAAUCACGGGUAAGCCCAUGUGUCUGCGAUGCUAUCAUUUUGAGCAACCUAAGAAUUGAAAAUUUUCCUGAAGCCAUAACAUUUCAAACUGAAUAGUCGGUUCGUAAUUAAUUGGAUAAUUUAAAGGCAGCCAUAUCCGAAGACAUAGCUGCAUGUUUAUUCAUAUAAAUGCAACAUUGUGUUUGCAGAAUUCCUAAAAGGAAAAGCUUUAUCGCUACCAACAAUCUCCCCACCCAGAUGAGGAAACUAGAUAAAUUCUGGUGUGUUCUAAUACUGUAAACAAGACUUUAGUUAAAUGCACAUUAAAGAUUCCCCUAGUGAGCAAUUGUUUUACAAGAACUUGAAAUCCCUAUGCUGCAUUGAAUAAAAGUUCAUGAUUAAUGGAAUAUCUGAGGCUUGGCUCAUGGAAACUUAAUCAGAUGGUUAGAAAUGUUGGCAGUUUCAGAUGUGCUGACGUAAUGGGUAAACAAACUUUUUGUAAUCUAUUGACUGCAUGUUUUUUCCUUACCCCAACUCAUUUCUUACAUGUAGGCUCAAUCUUUUCAGUAUUUGGGUUACUGGUUCUGCAGAAGCCAGGAAAACAGCCUUGUAGUAAUCAGAAUGUUAUCCAACUGUAUAUUGUUUACUUUAUUGUAAAUACUGGUGAACAGUGGUCAAUAAAUAGUUUUAUAUUCCUUUAAAAAAAA